This 464-nucleotide ribosomal RNA is filed under the name uncultured Rhodocyclaceae bacterium. Its description in RNAcentral is "partial 16S ribosomal RNA". It matches the Rfam family "Bacterial small subunit ribosomal RNA", at positions 338 to 794 of the family's 1533-position model. The record is from RNAcentral. Lineage: Bacteria; Pseudomonadati; Pseudomonadota; Betaproteobacteria; Rhodocyclales; Rhodocyclaceae.
CCUACGGGAGGCAGCAGUGGGGAAUUUUGCGCAAUGGGCGAAAGCCUGACGCAGCGACGCCGCGUGGGUGAAGAAGGCCUUCGGGUUGUAAAGCUCUUUCGGCAGGAACGAAACGGCGGACUCUAACAUAGUCUGUCAAUGACGGUACCUGAAGAAGAAGCACCGGCUAACUACGUGCCAGCAGCCGCGGUAAUACGUAGGGUGCGAGCGUUAAUCGGAAUUACUGGGCGUAAAGCGUGCGCAGGCGGCUUUGUAAGCCGGAUGUAAAAUCCCUGGGCUUAACCUAGGAACUGCGUUCGUGACUGCAAAGCUGGAGUGCGGCAGAGGGGGGUGGAAUUCCUGGUGUAGCAGUGAAAUGCGUAGAGAUCAGGAGGAACACCGAUGGCGAAGGCAGCCCCCUGGGUUGACACUGACGCUCAUGCACGAAAGUGUGGGGAGCAACCAGGAUUAGAUCCCCGGGUAGU